AAAGACAUCUUUGAAUUCUUGGAG
This 24-nucleotide microRNA is filed under the name Gossypium hirsutum (cotton). Its description in RNAcentral is "ghr-miR7485". Lineage: Eukaryota; Viridiplantae; Streptophyta; Magnoliopsida; Malvales; Malvaceae. The record is from miRBase by way of RNAcentral.